GAUGAACGCUGGCGGCGUGCCUCAAACAUGCAAGUCGAGCGGGGCUAUGUAAUAUCGCAAGGUAGAACAUAGCCUAGCGGCGAACGGGUGAGUAACACGUGGGUAACCUGCCUGGAAGACAGGGAUAACGAUUCGAAAGGGUCGCUAAUACCUGAUAAUAUCCUUUCAUCGCAUGGUGAUAGGAAGAAAGGGGAAACCCGCUUUCAGAUGGGCCCGCGUCCCAUCAGCUAGUUGGUAAGGUAAAGGCUUACCAAGGCGACGACGGGUAGCCGGUCUGAGAGGAUGUACGGCCACACUGGGACUGAGAUACGGCCCAGACUCCUACGGGAGGCAGCAGUUGGGAAUCUUAGGCAAUGGACGAAAGUCUGACCUAGCGACGCCGCGUGAGGGAAGAAGGCCUUCGGGUCGUAAACCUCUGUCAUGGGGAAGAAGGAAGUGACGGUACCCAACGAGGAAGCCCCUCGCUAACUACGUG
RNAcentral lists this ribosomal RNA (475 nucleotides) under uncultured bacterium. RNAcentral's name for it is "bacterial SSU rRNA". It matches the Rfam family "Bacterial small subunit ribosomal RNA", at positions 28 to 507 of the family's 1533-position model. The record is from RNAcentral.